AACCUGCCUUUGAGAAGGGGAUAACUGUCCGAAAGGAUAGCUAAUACCCUAUAUUGCUUUUUGUCACUAAGGCAAAAAGUGAAAGCGAGGCUGUCAAAGGCUUCGGCUCAAAGAGGGGUUCGCGUCCUAUCAGGUAGUUGGUGGGGUAAUGGCCUACCAAGCCAAUGACGGGUAGCUGGUCUUAGAGGAUGAUCAGCCACAGUGGGACUGAGACACGGCCCGCACCCCUACGGGGGGCAGCAGUGGGGAAUCGUGGGCAAUGGACGAAAGUCUGACCCCGCAAUGCCGCGUGAGGGAAGAAGCCCUUCGGGGUGUAAACCUCUGUCAGAUGGGAAGAUGGGACUAGGGGCUAAUACCUCCUGGUCUUGACGAUACCAUCAGAGGAAGGGACGGCUA
RNAcentral lists this ribosomal RNA (396 nucleotides) under uncultured bacterium. RNAcentral describes it as "bacterial SSU rRNA". It matches the Rfam family "Bacterial small subunit ribosomal RNA", at positions 123 to 499 of the family's 1533-position model. The record is from RNAcentral.